CCUACGGGAGGCAGCAGUGAGGAAUAUUGCACAAUGGGGGAAACCCUGAUGCAGCGACACCGCGUGAGCGAAGAAGUAUUUCGGUAUGUAAAGCUCUAUCAGCAAGGAAGAUAAUGACGGUACUUGACUAAGAAGCUCCGGCUAAAUACGUGCCAGCAGCCGCGGUAAU
This 169-nucleotide ribosomal RNA is filed under the name uncultured bacterium. Its description in RNAcentral is "partial 16S ribosomal RNA". It matches the Rfam family "Bacterial small subunit ribosomal RNA", at positions 338 to 524 of the family's 1533-position model. The record is from RNAcentral.